AAAUGCGAUAAGUAGUGUGCAUUGCAGAAUUCAGUGAAUCAUCGAAUCUUUGAACGCACAUUGCGCCCCUUGGUAUUCCAUGGGGCAUGCCUGUUCGAGCGUCAUUUGUACCCUCAAGCUCUGCUUGGUGUUGGGUGUUUGUCCCGUCUCCGCGCGUGGACUCGCCCCAAAGUGAUUGGCAGCCGGCGUACUGGUCCCGGAGCGCAGCACAUGUCGCGCAAACGAGUGCCUUGGUACGGUGGCGUCCAUAAGCCCCUCUCUCACGCUCUUGACCUCGGAUCAGGUAGGGAUACCCGCUGAACUUAAGC
Molecule: unclassified non-coding RNA, 308 nt
Filed under: plant metagenome
Description: partial contains 5.8S ribosomal RNA, internal transcribed spacer 2, and large subunit ribosomal RNA
Rfam family: 5.8S ribosomal RNA (bases 1-104)
Source: RNAcentral